GUGAACGCUGGCGGUAGGCCUAACACAUGCAAGUCGAACGGCAGCACAGUAAGAGCUUGCUCUUACGGGUGGCGAGUGGCGGACGGGUGAGGAAUACAUCGGAAUCUACUUUUUCGUGGGGGAUAACGUAGGGAAACUUACGCUAAUACCGCAUACGACCUACGGGUGAAAGCAGGGGAUCUUCGGACCUUGCGCGAUUGAAUGAGCCGAUGUCGGAUUAGCUAGUUGGCGGGGUAAAGGCCCACCAAGGCGACGAUCCGUAGCUGGUCUGAGAGGAUGAUCAGCCACACUGGAACUGAGACACGGUCCAGACUCCUACGGGAGGCAGCAGUGGGGAAUAUUGGACAAUGGGCGCAAGCCUGAUCCAGCCAUACCGCGUGGGUAAAGAAGGCCUUCGGGUUGUAAAGCCCUUUUGUUGGGAAAGAAAAGCAGCAGGUUAAUACCCCGCUGUUCUGACGGUACCCAAAGAAUAAGCACCGGCUAACUUCGUG
This 491-nucleotide ribosomal RNA is filed under the name uncultured bacterium. Its description in RNAcentral is "partial 16S ribosomal RNA". It matches the Rfam family "Bacterial small subunit ribosomal RNA", at positions 29 to 507 of the family's 1533-position model. The record is from RNAcentral.